CCCUUAGAUGUUCUGGGCCGCACGCGUGCUACACUGAGUGGAUCAGCGGGUCAGGUUGCGCGAAAAUGUUUCCUAAUCUUGAAAUCCGCUCGUGAUGGGGAUUGACGGUUGCAAUUUUCCGUCAUGAACGAGGAAUACCUUGUAAGCGCGGGUCAUCAUCCCGCGCUGAAUACGUCCCUGCCCUUUGUACACACCGCCCGUCGCUCCUACCGAUUGAGUGGUCCGGUGAGGCUUUGGGAUCUGAGCGGAAAGAGCGUUUCGCUGUUUCUGCUCGGAAAACUCAGUCGAACCUUAUCAUUUAGAGGAAGGAGAAGUCGUAACA
Molecule: ribosomal RNA, 322 nt
Filed under: uncultured eukaryote
Lineage: Eukaryota
Description: partial 18S ribosomal RNA
Rfam family: Eukaryotic small subunit ribosomal RNA
Source: RNAcentral